Physcomitrium patens is the source of this 941-nucleotide non-coding RNA. The record is from RefSeq and is a predicted model, not a curated record. NCBI's taxonomy places the organism in Eukaryota, Viridiplantae, Streptophyta, Bryopsida, Funariales, Funariaceae.
CUUUCUUUCUUUCUUUCUCUCUUUCUCUCUUUCUUUCAUUUAACACCUUUUUUGUUUGUUUGUUUGUUCGUUUGUUCCGGGAUUAGAGUUACUUUUAUUUUUUCGAGUUCUUUUAAAAUAUUUGAGGACACUAACUUGUUUAGGGCAGGAUCAGCAUUUAUGUACCAUUCAUGGUUGUGCCGCUGGACUCUUUUCUCUUUGUUCGGUGUGAAGGGGAAGGAAACCUGGCCGUACCUUUCUCAUGUACAGGUGGAAAUGAUGAAGGGGGGUUUAAAGUAGGAGAGAGUAUACAAGGAUGCUGAAAGUACUUGAUGGCGCUCAAUUGUAUCGUAUCGACAGUUUUGAUACCUUGGUCCUGUCUGGAGUAGAUGAUGUCCCACUGAGCAUCCGGGAGCUGCUUUGCUGUGUGCUGAACAGCCUUCGAUGCCUCGAGAUGGGAGUUUUCCAUGUCGAAGCUUAGUUAUUUCGACUUUACCUCGACACUUCAUGGACUGAGCAAUAAUAGCGGAAAUUCCACCGCCAACCAUACCUAAGACAAUGCUGCUGUCGAUUCUGCCACAAUUAAGAAACUGGUUGAGCGCACCGCGCACUGUUUUCUCCUGCUAAACCAGCUUGCUUGACCAGACUUUUGGAGAAUUCCGUGCAUGUGUCACAGGCGGAUGGUAUUUGGAUUAGGUACAACUAUAGUGCAGUUGGAUUAUCAAGUGUUCAAUCUAUUUAGGCUUUGGCAUUUCAGGAUUGACCAACAGAUCGAUCAAGUGGUUCACGUCGUUGGGUUAUUGAUAAAAGUCGACAUGCAGCAUUCACUAUGUUAAAUACCAACAAAGAGAAAAUGUUCCACCUCCCGGUAUAUUGCCAUUAGUGAUCCUGGUCAUACUUUUGGAAUGGUUUUUGUAUGGAAGAGACUGGUCGUUAAUUGAUGGAUGGUUUUAAUCACUUUA